Engraulis encrasicolus (European anchovy) is the source of this 708-nucleotide long non-coding RNA. RefSeq lists it as uncharacterized. The transcript is spliced from 4 exons. The record is from RefSeq and is a predicted model, not a curated record. NCBI's taxonomy places the organism in Eukaryota, Metazoa, Chordata, Actinopteri, Clupeiformes, Engraulidae.
GACCUGCCUGCCGAGGAAGACCAGGAAGAGACUCUUCAACCCAGUUUCAACCUGUUUUCGGAAGUAUGUCCACAAGUAGCCUACUUGUGCUUCAGAUCAACAUCGCAGUUGGAGUCUUUUCAGAAUCACAUACUCAUGUAUGCCAGUAAGCGCCACUCCUUCAGCCCACCGGUUUUGCUGGCAGCUCUUGACUACAACUUUCAUUGUGACAGGCCGACGCUCACAACAUCAGAGGGCCAACAAAUUUUCAGACGGACAGAAGACAUACGAUUACAUCCCAAAUCUUCAAGGGAGAGUUGUCGAGCAAAGAGUCAGCAGUGGGGUGGAAAUGCCCAGGACCAGGACGCUUCAACCUGAUGACCCCCGGAGACUUGGUGUUGUGCCCCAGUCCCUUCAUCAACAAUAUUCGGCUUUCCAAGCAGCUGCUGAUGACGAGAAAUGAUUGAUGUACCACAUGACCACCUCCAUCCUCAUGUGAAGUGGCAAAGAUGAUAACUUAGAUUUUUACCUUUACAUUGUUGUUGCGCUAUGGUUGUGAGAAUCUUUCUUUUCUUGGCUUCUUUAUGUAUGUAUGCAUGUAUAUUUUGAAUAUAAACACAGCACUGACAAAGGGUUAUAUUCCUUUAUUUAUUACUAAAACAUAAGCAAUUGCACUGAAGAAAUAUAAUGUAACAUGUACAAACUGUAAAAAAGUGUAAAUAUUGACCG